This 258-nucleotide long non-coding RNA is filed under the name Hordeum vulgare. Its description in RNAcentral is "long non-coding RNA (HVUL_LNC001901)". The record is from RNAcentral. Lineage: Eukaryota; Viridiplantae; Streptophyta; Magnoliopsida; Poales; Poaceae.
GUUGCAGGUACAGGUAAAGGUUACUUGACGCGAGCGCGUUGAUUGUUCAUUUGGAGUUGCUUCUUCUUCUUCUUCUUCUUCUUCUUCAUCAUCAUCGAUCUAGGAUGGGUUCCAGGCCGGCAGCCUGGGAUAUCAAGGAUGGACGUCGUUCUUGUUUUUCUCGUUUGUUUUCGUCCGUAGUCGGACCCUGCUCUUACUCUUGAUGAUUAUGUAAUGUACUGUUGUGACUCUGAUGUAGCUUGUGGCGAGUGUAAGCCA